This 485-nucleotide ribosomal RNA is filed under the name uncultured bacterium. RNAcentral's name for it is "bacterial SSU rRNA". It matches the Rfam family "Bacterial small subunit ribosomal RNA", at positions 501 to 989 of the family's 1533-position model. The record is from RNAcentral.
CUACGUGCCAGCAGCCGCGGUAAUACGGAAGGUCCGGGCGUUAUCCGGAUUUAUUGGGUUUAAAGGGAGCGUAGGCCGGAGAUUAAGUGUGUUGUGAAAUGUAGACGCUCAACGUCUGACUUGCAGCGCAUACUGGUUUCCUUGAGUACGCACAACGUUGGCGGAAUUCGUCGUGUAGCGGUGAAAUGCUUAGAUAUGACGAAGAACUCCGAUUGCGAAGGCAGCUGACGGGAGCGCAACUGACGCUUAAGCUCGAAGGUGCGGGUAUCGAACAGGAUUAGAUACCCUGGUAGUCCGCACAGUAAACGAUGGAUGCCCGCUGUUGGUACCUGGUAUCAGCGGCUAAGCGAAAGCAUUAAGCAUCCCACCUGGGGAGUACGCCGGCAACGGUGAAACUCAAAUGAAUUGACGGGGGCCCGCACAAGCGGUGGAGCAUGUGGUUUAAUUCGAUGCAACGCGAAGAACCUUACCUACUCUUGACAUCC